CGAAGGGUGCAAGCGUUACUCGGAAUUACUGGGCGUAAAGCGUGCGUAGGCGGUUUGUUAAGUCUGUCGUGAAAGCCCCGGGCUCAACCUGGGAAUGGCGGUGGAUACUGGCAGGCUAGAGUACGGUAGAGGAUGGUGGAAUUCCCGGUGUAGCAGUGAAAUGCGUAGAGAUCGGGAGGAACAUCUAUGGCGAAGGCAGCCAUCUGGACCAGUACUGACGCUGAGGCACGAAAGCGUGGGGGAGCAAACAGGAUU
Molecule: ribosomal RNA, 255 nt
Filed under: uncultured bacterium
Lineage: Bacteria
Description: partial 16S ribosomal RNA
Rfam family: Bacterial small subunit ribosomal RNA
Source: RNAcentral